This 460-nucleotide ribosomal RNA is filed under the name uncultured bacterium. RNAcentral's name for it is "partial 16S ribosomal RNA". It matches the Rfam family "Bacterial small subunit ribosomal RNA", at positions 338 to 795 of the family's 1533-position model. The record is from RNAcentral.
CCUACGGGAGGCAGCAGUGAGGAAUAUUGGUCAAUGGGCGAGAGCCUGAACCAGCCAAGUCGCGUGAAUGAUGACGGCCCUACGGGUUGUAAACUUCUUUUGUCAGGGAACAAUUUGGUCCACGCGUGUGCUUAUCUAUAUUACCUGAAGAUAAAGCAUCGGCUAACUCCGUGCCACCAGCCGCGGUCAUACGGAGGAUGCGAGCGUUAUCCGGAUUUAUUGGGUUAAAUGGGUCCGUAAGCGGAAUAUCAAGUCAGCGGUAAAAAUUCGGGGCUCAACCCCGUCGUGCCGUUGAGACUGAUGUUCUUGAGUGGGCGAGAAGUAUGCGGAAUGCGUGGUGUAGCGGUGAAAUGCAUAGAUAUCACGCAGAACUCCGAUUGCGAAGGCAGCAUACCGGCGCCCAACUGACGCUGAAGCACGAAAGCGUGGGUAUCGAACAGGAUUAGAUACCCUUGUAGUC